AGUUGCAUUCUCGGCCACAUAGAUCCCUCAAUGGUACUCAACCGCAGCAACUGAAAGAAUGAGAUAAAUACCGUUGGCUUCUCCAUGGUGGUAUGAGAUCGAUGGUAUUGUAGUGUGAGGUCAGAUGGGAUGGAUCGAAAACGCUGCAAACUGUCGAUUGAAAAUGCGAUGAGCUCGGGAGGUAAAGCCCACCAGAGUUGUCAGAACAAAUGGGAUGUAUGAAUAGAAAUGGUGAAGACAGGAAAGGGCUGGACUUUGAAGAAUUGGCAAUGGAAUGCCGCGAAAGGGGGCAGUGGAUAUAGGGUUCUGGAUACUGGGGGCAACAGCUGAGUAUAAGAUUGG
This 342-nucleotide small RNA is filed under the name Histoplasma capsulatum var. duboisii H88. RNAcentral's name for it is "Histoplasma capsulatum H88 hypothetical RNA". The record is from RNAcentral. Lineage: Eukaryota; Fungi; Ascomycota; Eurotiomycetes; Onygenales; Ajellomycetaceae.